This 402-nucleotide ribosomal RNA is filed under the name uncultured prokaryote. RNAcentral describes it as "bacterial SSU rRNA". It matches the Rfam family "Bacterial small subunit ribosomal RNA", at positions 355 to 774 of the family's 1533-position model. The record is from RNAcentral.
UAGGGAAUAUUGGUAAUCUGGGAAACCGGGAACCAGCAACGCCGCGUGCGCGAUGAAGGCCUUCGGGUUGUAAAACGCUUUUUGAGAGGAUGAGGAAGGACAGUACUCUUAGCAUAAGCCUCGGCUAACUACGUGCCAGCAGCCGCGGUAAAACGUAGGAGGCGAGCGUUAUCCGGAUUUACUGGGCGUAAAGCGUGUGUAGGCGGUUUGAUAAGUUGGAUGUGAAAGCUCCUGGCUUAACUGGGGGAGGUCGUGCAAAACUAUCAGACUUGAGAGUGGUAGAGGGAGGUGGAAUUCCGCAUGUAGUGGUGAAAUGCGUAGAUAUGCGGAGGAACACCAGUGGCGAAAGCGGCCUCCUGGCCCAUUUCUGACGCUCAGACACGAAAGCUAAGGGAGCAAACG